UAGGGAAUCUUCCGCAAUGGACGAAAGUCUGACGGAGCAACGCCGCGUGAGUGAAGAAGGAUUUCGGUUCGUAAAACUCUGUUGUUAGGGAAGAAAAAAUGUAUAGUAACUAUAUACAAAAGAGACGGUACCUAAUCAGAAAGCCACGGCUAACUACGUGCCAGCAGCCGCGGUAAUACGUAGGUGGCAAGCGUUGUCCGGAAUUAUUGGGCGUAAAGCGCGCGCAGGUGGUUUAGAAAGUCUGAUGUGAAAGCCCACGGCUCAACCGUGGAGGGUCAUUGGAAACUAAUAAACUUGAGUGCAGGAGAGAAAAGUGGAAUUCCUAGUGUAGCGGUGAAAUGCGUAGAGAUUAGGAGGAACACCGGUGGCGAAAGCGGCUUUUUGGCCUGCAACUGACACUGAGGCGCGAAAGAGUGGGGAGCAAACAGG
RNAcentral lists this ribosomal RNA (429 nucleotides) under Verrucomicrobiota bacterium. Its description in RNAcentral is "Verrucomicrobia bacterium partial 16S ribosomal RNA". It matches the Rfam family "Bacterial small subunit ribosomal RNA", at positions 355 to 776 of the family's 1533-position model. The record is from RNAcentral. Lineage: Bacteria; Pseudomonadati; Verrucomicrobiota.